UAUCGGUCUUCACUAACAUGCAAAACAAACAAAAUCUAAACAAUGCAAUUAAUAGAAGUGACGGGAAAUAUAUGAUGUUUUGGUGGCUAUUGGUGACCUAGCCAAGCACGCCCACCCAACCAAGGAUGCCCCGGAUGAUUCUGCGGAGGUAUCACCCAUCAUAUGCUGGUCGAAGUCACUCCUCGCGACUAGGACAGCUCCAUCUCCCCCACAGCGACAACUCACUCGCACAUUUCGGUCUUCAUGUACAUUUAAUAUCCACACCUCUACGACCAAACUUGGCCACCGUCUCCAAAUUUAACCGGUCAAAGCGGAAGAUUA
Molecule: long non-coding RNA, 321 nt
Organism: Drosophila rhopaloa
Lineage: Eukaryota; Metazoa; Arthropoda; Insecta; Diptera; Drosophilidae
Exons: 2
Source: RefSeq, a predicted model, not a curated record